AUGCCACGAACAACAACUUCGACGCCAAGAUGCAAGCUCAAAUGGAGGAGAUCCAAUCCCAUCAAAUACUACAAGCGAUCUUCCUCAUCUUCGAGAAGACUCUCAAGAGCACAUGCCUCCGAGCUACCAUCUCCGGCAAGGUCACAUCGGCAUCGACACCAUCACCACCACGAACGUGAAGGUCAAGAGCUCAAUACCAACAACCGCUCAACGACUUCACCAUCUCCCUUGGCAUCUUCGCCAAGUGACUUCAAGGCAUCUUCGCCUUCGGAUAUACGGCAUCUUCGCCAACAAGCACCUCAAGACUACGCUUAA
This 315-nucleotide ribosomal RNA is filed under the name Triticum aestivum (bread wheat). RNAcentral describes it as "partial small subunit ribosomal RNA". The record is from RNAcentral. Lineage: Eukaryota; Viridiplantae; Streptophyta; Magnoliopsida; Poales; Poaceae.